CAGUCGCCACGGUAAAACGGAGGGUGCAAGCGUUAUCCGGAUUCACUGGGUUUAAAGGGUGCGUAGGCGGGCAGGUAAGUCAGUGGUGAAAUCUUCGAGCUUAACUCGGAAACUGCCGUUGAUACUAUCUGUCUUGAAUAACGUUGAGGUGAGCGGAAUAUGUCAUGUAGCGGUGAAAUGCUUAGAUACGACAUAGAACACCGAUUGCGAAGGCAGCUCACUAAACGCUCAUUGACGCUGAGGCACGAAAGCGUGGGGAUCAAACAGGAUUAGAUACCCGCGUAGUCCCUGUCUCUUAUAC
This 301-nucleotide ribosomal RNA is filed under the name uncultured bacterium. Its description in RNAcentral is "partial 16S ribosomal RNA". It matches the Rfam family "Bacterial small subunit ribosomal RNA", at positions 509 to 807 of the family's 1533-position model. The record is from RNAcentral.